GUGGCGGAAUGGCAGACGCGCUACUUUGAGGGGGUAGUGAUCGUAGAUCGUGUGAGUUCAAGUCUCACCAGCCGCA
RNAcentral lists this transfer RNA (76 nucleotides) under Dialister sp. CAG:588. It matches the Rfam family "tRNA". From Rfam's summary of the family: Transfer RNA (tRNA) molecules are approximately 80 nucleotides in length. Their secondary structure includes four short double-helical elements and three loops (D, anti-codon, and T loops). The record is from Rfam by way of RNAcentral. Lineage: Bacteria; Bacillati; Bacillota; Negativicutes; Veillonellales; Veillonellaceae.